AAACAUCGCCUCUUGAACAGAUAUAAGAGGUCCAGCCUGCCCGGUGAUACAAUUUAACGGCCGCGGUAUACUGACCGUGCGAAGGUAGCAUAAUCACUUGUUCUUUAAAUGAGGACUAGUAUGAACGGCACCACGAGGGCUUUACUGUCUCCUCCCUUCAAUCAGUGAAACUGACCCCCCUGUGAAGAGGCAGGGAUACUACUAUAAGACGAGAAGACCCCAUGGAGCUUUAAACCCAACAACAGCCCAAACACCACCACCCCUAAAAGUUUUAACGGUAUUGCUAGUUGGUUUUAGGUUGGGGUGACCGCGGAGUAUAAACUAUCCUCCACGACGAACGGGCCUACCCCCUUACCCAAGAGCUACACCUCUAAGGAUUAACACAUUAACGUAAAAUGAUCCAAAUAUUUGAUCAACGAACCAAGUUACCCUGGGGAUAACAGCGCAAUCCAUUUUUAGAGCCCCUAUCGACAAAUGGGUUUACGACCUCGAUGUUGGAUCAGGGUAUCCAGGAGGUGCAGCCGCUUCCAAUGGUUUGUUUGUUCAACAAUUA
This 553-nucleotide ribosomal RNA is filed under the name Euphlyctis kalasgramensis. Its description in RNAcentral is "partial large subunit ribosomal RNA". It matches the Rfam family "Bacterial large subunit ribosomal RNA", at positions 1811 to 2590 of the family's 2925-position model. The record is from RNAcentral. Lineage: Eukaryota; Metazoa; Chordata; Amphibia; Anura; Dicroglossidae.